Molecule: long non-coding RNA, 124 nt
Filed under: Lepidothrix coronata (blue-crowned manakin)
Lineage: Eukaryota; Metazoa; Chordata; Aves; Passeriformes; Pipridae
Description: lncRNA (ENSLCOG00000015087.1)
Source: RNAcentral
GCGAUCCAGCGCGGGAGGGCGGCGUGCGGGGCUGGCACAGCACCGUAACACCCCGCACACCCGCGGGGGCCCCUCCCGACCGCGCCAUGAAAGGAGAUGCUGGCGGAGGUUUCAUGAUUGUAGA